UUUGCCGAUGAAGACCGUGAGAUGCAAUUGAAAGCUCAGAAAAAAAACCUAACCAGUCAAUUAUCCUAUUUUCCAGUGAGUCAGUGAACUGGAACCACUGGAGUGAGCAGAAUCGUGCUACCGUGAGUUCCCUUGGCUCUGAGACACACGCUGAGACAACGCUUUCAGGU
This is a long non-coding RNA of Siniperca chuatsi (mandarin fish), 170 nucleotides long. RefSeq lists it as uncharacterized. The transcript is spliced from 3 exons. NCBI's taxonomy places the organism in Eukaryota, Metazoa, Chordata, Actinopteri, Centrarchiformes, Sinipercidae. The record is from RefSeq and is a predicted model, not a curated record.